CCCCAAAUCUCCCGAAUUCAUAUUUCUGUGUUAGAAAAAUGCACACAUUUCAUUCCAGAAUGUAUUGCUAAAAAUGUGUGGACUGCCUUUUCUGUGCAGGACUAUGUGGCUGCAAGGUAUUCUUCACUAUGACACCUGGGAGACUUGAUUCUUGGUAAGCCAGUGACCCCAUUAGUAGCCACUGAGUUGAAGUACGGACUGCCUCUGAAGAAGCACUCUGGGGUAGGAGGGCUCUCUGCCCUGGUGGCUGUUGGGGUGGUUCCAGAGUGAAUCAUGGCUCCAGUGGCCUGGAGGGUCUUAACUGGCCCCACUGCCCUCAAGCGGUCGAAGAGGGGCUGUACUGUGCAUCUACGAGCACAAAACCCAGCAAAGCCAGCAAUGUGAGCCAGCUGUUGAAGUUGGCCCAUUAGGAGGAGAAAGCUGCCUCAUUUUAAUCACUCAUCAGAACCACUGAGCAUAUUUUCCCUGAGGGCACAGGUGGAGGAAUCUAGGCAGCUCUGUUCAGGUUGGGGGGGUGUGGGAUGUUCUCAGGGACCCUACAAACAGACCCCUGGGAGCCACGGGUGUUAGAGGAUCCUUGGGCCCAAUCAGGCAUCCAGUCCGAAAGGGCUCUGUGUGUGGCCAGUUUCAAGCUGCCACCUUUGAAAGCAUUUCAGGGAGUAACCAGUCUGGACCAUGGUGGUACGUAGGUUUGGGGCACCAAACUGAGCCCAACAGCCCAUGAGGUUACCAGCAGACAAAAGCAAGGUGGUAGUGAGGGGCUUGACUGUGCACCCUCAGGCUGAGCCUGAUCAUCGGGGACCCACGGUGAGAGAUGUCUGACAGGUCGUGAAUAGGAGGCCCAGGCCUGAGGGACUGUGUGGAGCCGAAAAGAUGAAUAGGAGGGAGGGAGAGUCUGGGCCCUGGAGCAGGCUGUGGAUUGACCCCUGUGACCUCAAGACAGACCCCAGGGAGCACUGGUUGUGUGAGAAGCCUUGGGACCCACGAAGCCCCCAGUUCCAAAAGGGUCUGUCUGUGCCAGCCUGAAGCUGCUGCCUUUGGAAGAAUUUCAAGGAGUAACCCCUCUCCACCCUCGGAUGGUGCAGUUUGGGACACAGGCCCAAGCCCAACAUUCCCGGAGGGGCUCAGCUGAAAAAGUUGGUAGGGCAGGUAAAUGAGGAGGGCUGGCUACACAUGCCGAGGCCGCUCAGGCCUGAGGGGAAGCCUGGACCUGAGUUGGGAGACCACAGCCCCAGCCCCAGAGCAGGCUUCUAGGGGGCCAGUCUGAUCCCAACAGCCCAGCAUGGCCCUGACCAGCAGGGUGGCCUUGGAGGCCAGUGAUGGGGGCUGAGCACACAUGGCUGUUACAUGGCUGCCACAGGACCCACAUGGCCUGAACCUUAAAGAAACAGCAAUAAGCAGAGCCUAGGCCUGGGACCAAGCUCUCAGUGGCUCGUGGCAUCUGCGGAAUCCAAGCCACAUCCUAGACAAUUGCAUGUGUCACCCUUGAAGCAGAGCUGGAGGAAUCUGGGCUGACUUGACAGGGAAGAGGCCAGGUCACGGGUGCCCCUGAUACCAGUCUCACUGGAAGCCUUAGCUGACAUGGACGUACGUAUCUCCUCCCCUGGAGGCCAAGCUGUAAGCAAUUGCACUGCCUUAUCAAUACACCAGCUGGCUGGGGUAUGCUUCCACAGAAGACCCCUGGGGGCCUUGAUUGAUGGUGAAGCUGGGGACUCCAUUUGGCAGGCAGACAGGCUACAUGGGGACUGACUGCCACCUCUGGAAACUUCUGAGGGUUGGCUCAGUAUUGUGACCUCAGGGUUGGGAUCCUGCUGCCCAGGAGGCUAUGUGGGUGCUUUGGGUGUGGGCAGAGCUCCACAGGCAGAGAGAGAUCCGGCUUCCUCAAAACAGGUGAAAGGGUGGCUAGUGUGCGUGAUGAGACGUGCAGGUGCAGGCAGCCAGGGACCGGCAGAGGCAAGUGUAUGGAGAGAUUGGGUGUUGUGGGUAGGCCUUGGGCUGUCCAAGUCCUUUGCCUGAUUCCCAGCUUUGUGCUCCAUAGAUGAGCAUACUUUUCCUCCCAAAGGUAAAGCCAGUGGAGCAUGGACUGCCUUGGCCAGACAGGGCCGGUCUGUCUGGGCCUGGGAACCCGGAUUCCUGGUAAGCCCAGAGCCCCAUCAGGGAGGCAGCCAGCUGCGUGGGUACUGACUGUUGGCUCAUAAACAUUUUGUAGGGGAGGGUAUCUUCUGCCCUGGAGGGUGUUCAGGUGGUUUGAGAGCCACUUGAGGCCCCAGAGGCCUCAGGCAGGCCUGUCUGGAGUUGUCUGGGGGACCCACCAAACACAGACCCCUGGAAGCCCUGGGGCCAGCCAAGUGUGCAGUGCAAGAGGAGUCUGGCCAGUUUCAAGCUGCCACAUCAGAAAGAAUUUGGGAGAGGAAGCUCUCUGGACCCUGGGAUGUGCAGGUCUAGGCAAACUGACCAAGCCCAACAGGCCAAGGGGAAAUUAGCAGACUUCUGGGUGUCCUUCACAGGUGGGCCUACUGGGCCUCACUAUCCUGCCCAGGGGGGAUUUGAAGAGACCAGGCAGGUAAGGACCUUUUUUAGGGGCAGGUUUGAGGAGGAGAACAUGUUUCUUUUCUGGGAAACAAUAUCUGUUUUUUCAGAGUGAAGUAAAUUUUGCCCCCAGAGGUCCACCCUAGGACCCCAGGAUGUGACCUCAUUCAGGAGUAGGACCUUUGCAGAUAGUGAGUGUGCAUGAACUGGGAGAGAGACAGAGGGAAAGAGAAUCCCAAGCAGGCUGCACACUCAGCACGGAGCCUGACACGGGGCUUGAUGCCACCACCCUGGGAUCAUGACCUGAGCCAAAAUUGAGAGUCAGAUGCCCAAUGGACUGAGCCCCCCCAGGAGGCAGCCUGCACUUGAUGGACAAAAUUCCCGUCCAAAGACCAAAGCACCUUUGAGCAUUAUCUGCAGUAUUCCGCCAUUUGCACACAUAACCGCAGCUGAGGAAGCACUGAACAACCAGAAACAGCUGUUCGUAUAUCUUCCUCCUGUCAACUCGCUCACAGUCCCCUCAAGUCACUCGCUCCCAGUCCUUCUCAGAGAGGAGACCAGAGGUCUUCACAGAGGAUCCUCGAGGGGACAGAGGGACAGUGUCUGCAAACAAGAAACUGAGGGCUCCUGCUUCCGAGGAGGAUGGAAUGAGAGCCGCCAUUGAAUCUGGAGCUCCAUUAACCAUUGUCUUAUCCAGUGAAGACCAUCCUGAGGGACGGCCAAGAACAUGGCUGGGUGGUGAAGGAGGAGGAGGCACGGUACAGGUAUAGGCAACAUUCAAGGGGAGGCCUUGUUGCCUGGAGGCCAGAGGUCAGUGGUCAGGACCUGGGCUGGUGUCUUCCUGGUCAUGUGGGGUGUUGCUUUUGGUCCAAGUCCAUUUGUAGUGGACAGAAACUGGAGAGUCUGGACAGCCUCCGGAUCAGGUCUCUGAGUGCUCUCCUGGGUGAUCUGGCAUGGAAUGUGUCUUAGUUUAUUUGGGGGCUUAAGGCGCGUCUGGACGGGCAUCUGGUCAAAUCUCUUGCCGGAUGCCUCGAGGCUGAGCUUAUUGUCCUGGCCCCGUAUACAUGCAGCAGGAUGUGAGUUCAGUGUUGAGGGCAUAUUAUGACACUUGAUUUGUGUCUGUUGGGUUAGGACUGGCUCAGGCUAUGUGGUUUAGAGGCAGCCAGGGGAACGUCACGGGAGUAAACUUGAGGCCUGUUGUGUGUCAGCAUGACGAUGAGGGCAGGAUCCUGGCCAAAGUGCUUGGAUGCUGGCAGAAGGGCAUCAGUGACAGCCACUUCCUGUCUUAUUGUUUUGUCCCUGAAGUGAGGUGAAGCUCAGUUCAGGUUUUUUGAUGGGAGACCCUGUAGGGCGCAUGGGUCUCAUACCAGGUUUCUUUCCCGGCAGCUGACUUGUGACAAUAGGGCCCAGGGUAGAUGUCUUCUUGGUUGCGUAGACAAGCACAGGCCUGUUUGGAUGCUGUGGGAGAAGACCCCACACGUACACACAAACGUGUAUGUACCUAUGUAUGUGUGUACGUAUGUGUGUACACACACACAGUCGACCCUUGAACAACACAGGUUUGAAUUGCAUGGGACCACUUAUUCGUAGCUUUUUUUCAAUACAGUAAAACGUUGUAAAUAUAUUUUCCUUAUGUUUUCUCAAUAUCAAUUUCUUUUCUCUAGCUUAGUUCGUUGUAAAAAUACAGUGUGUAACACACAUGCCCUACAAAUGCGUGGUAACUGACCGAUUAUGUUAUCGGGAAGGCUUCCAGGCAACACUAGGCUAUUAGUAGCUCAGUUUUGGGGAAGUCAAAAGUUCUACUCGGAUUUCCAACUGGUGGUCUAUGUGUUAAUUAGCUUGACUGUGGGAAUCCAUCACAGUAUAUAUGUAUGUAUAUCAAAGAAUCGUGUUGUAGAUAGAUUUUAACAUGAUAUGGGGGAAGUUGGCCAGGGUGUGCCCUUUCACUGCGCAUUUACGUGGGGAUCCUGGGCUUGUGGCCUGGGAAGAAGCGGUGCUCCAUGAGAGGGACCCUGCAGGGAAGUGGGCUGGUUAUGGGCAGAAUGUGUCCUGGUCUUGUCCAUGUCUGUAGGCUCUGUAGAGAAUAUCUGGACUGCCUAGUAUCAGUAGUCUGGUUUACUCUCCAUUUCUGUUCCUUAGCACGUUUGCUACCGGUUUAUGAAUAUUAUUAUUAACCAUAACAACUUCCCCCUUGUUUAUUUUUAUAUUGUCUCUUUCUGUGUCAUUAUUUUAUCCUCUUUAUUAUUUUCUUACUUCUGUAUUACAGCGUUUGUAUUUUUUUUUUUUUUUUCUUACUUCCUGAGAAGGAAACCGACGUGACGGAUCUGAGUCUUGCCUGUAUUCAGCCGUGUCCAUGUCAGUCUCUAAAUGGACGCCUAAGCACUGAUUUAGUUGAGUCCUAUGUCUUCCCUCUCGUCUCCUCAAAUCCUGUGCCUGCCGGCCGUGUGUGCCCUCUGGGGCCUCCACCCCAUGUGCCCGCAGCCCAAAUCUGUUCUCCAGGAUCGCCACGCCAUGUCCUCCUCUGUGUAUUUACAACCCCUGUGCCGGUGACCCAUGUCUGUCAUCGUGUUUUUCUAAUCCCUCUGCCAGCAGUUCUUGACAGUCUCAAAAGCCUGCGUUCCCUGUGCCUGCACCCUCUGCCAGCCCACGUGAUGCUUCAUCCCUUUUCACAGUCCCAUCAUGGAACUCAUUUCACCGUCUCUUCAUCCCCACGGCCCAGGACAGUUCAUGUGUUUCUCCUGGCAGGAGCUGAGCUGACCUUGGGGAGAGACAUCUGAGUUGCCAGGUGUCAGAGUAGCAGACAAAGCAUCAAGUCAUAAAUGAAAGAUUUAAGCCUAUAAUGACUUAUUGUGGUGGCACAAGCAAGAGCCUUAGCCGCAGAAGUUCUGACUCCCCCACCCGCCACCCUGUUCUAUUCCUCAUCACCUGGGAUGUUGUACAGAUCACGGAUCGGGUGAACACAAAUGUGGGCUUGGUCUCACUGUUGAGGAAACCCCAAACAAAAGGUGUGGCAUUUUCACAGACCCUUGGGCUGGAGGGAGAGUGACAAGUGCUAGGGGCAGGAAAGCACUGGGCACUGUGUCAGAGUUGGACAAGCGUUUUCAGGGUUUUCCCGUCUUCUCCCCCUGGGAGGGGAUCUCAGCAGAAUCAACUGCAGAGCAGCUCAUCCCCAGAUGCAGGUGAAGAGAAGCAUGUGUGUUGUAGGAGAUGCUGUCCUUCCCUGAGGUUUCUUUAUGCUGAAAUCCAAGCACUUGCCAAGCACCAGAUUCCUGAGUGGCACCAUCAUUUAAUUAUGAAUGGAGAAAUGGGAUCACACAAAGAACUUUCGGAGAAUUGGUCCACAGUGACCACCCGCCAUCUGCCCCACCUCCUUGGAGGUUCACGUCAGCCUUCCCUCGGAUACGGAUUUCUGGAUUUCCUGAGUCUAAUGAAAAAGGACAGUCAUUCACACAGACACAGGACUCCUUCAUGUGCCUUCUUCUCCCAGGAGGCGUGAGGGGGAGCCAUAACCACCAGGUCAAACAGAGUCCUCACCCUGUGUGACCUCUCCUUCCUGCCUGUCCUGCACACUCUCCCGAGGACCCAACCCCAGGAGGGCACCCUCAGGCAAGGCAAGUAAGGUGGUCUUGAUCGACUCACUGGGGAGACUUCCAUGAAGCCUGUCACAAUGUACUCCGGAAGCAAAGUCACACAAAGUCCUAACCCCGAUGGACACCAGAAUCGAUGCUAUGGCAACACCCUCUGUGGCACACAGAGUUGCAUGUGGAAAAGGAAGUAUGCUUGUCUCUCAAAAAUAUGAAUUUCUGGGGCGCCUGAGUGGCUCAGUCAGUUAAGCGUCCGACUUCGACUCAGGUCAUGAUCUCGAGGUUUGUGAGUUUGAGCCCCGUGUAGGGCUGUGUGCGAGCAGCUCAGAGCCUGGAGCCUGCUUCGGAUUCUGCGUGUCUCUCUCUUCUCUGCCCCUCCCCUGUUCGUGCUCUGUCUCUCUCUGUCUCUCAAAAAUAAAUACAUGGGAAAGAAAAUUAAAAACAACAUCUGAAUUUCCCAUUUGACACAA
Acinonyx jubatus (cheetah) is the source of this 6583-nucleotide long non-coding RNA. RefSeq lists it as uncharacterized. The transcript is spliced from 4 exons. Lineage: Eukaryota; Metazoa; Chordata; Mammalia; Carnivora; Felidae. The record is from RefSeq and is a predicted model, not a curated record.